UACGUAGGGUGCAAGCGUUGUCCGGAAUUAUUGGGCGUAAAGAGCGUGUAGGCGGCCAGACAGGUCCGUUGUGAAAACUCGAGGCUCAACCUCGAGAUGUCGAUGGAAACCGUCUGGCUAGAGUCCGGAAGAGGAGUGUGGAAUUCCUGGUGUAGCGGUGAAAUGCGCAGAUAUCAGGAAGAACACCUAUGGCGAAGGCAGCUCGCUGGGACGUGACUGACGCUGAGACGCGAAAGCGUGGGGAGCAAACAGG
Molecule: ribosomal RNA, 253 nt
Filed under: uncultured bacterium
Lineage: Bacteria
Description: partial 16S ribosomal RNA
Rfam family: Bacterial small subunit ribosomal RNA
Source: RNAcentral